RNAcentral lists this long non-coding RNA (431 nucleotides) under Nicotiana benthamiana. RNAcentral describes it as "long non-coding RNA (NBEN_LNC012150)". Lineage: Eukaryota; Viridiplantae; Streptophyta; Magnoliopsida; Solanales; Solanaceae. The record is from RNAcentral.
CUUUCAUUCCAUCUUCGAUCAAGUUACAUCCUGAAGAGUUAAAGUUUGUACCUGGAAGUUGAAACACAAACAAAGAAUGGAGGAUCAGCAGCAGAAACAGUGACAAACAGCACCAGCAAUGCUUAACACCAAUUUUAAACCCAGCAAAUGAUAUGCAUCAAUCAAACUUAGCUUUCCAUUGAAAAUAAUGACUCGAGUCUCAAGCCAAACUUCUACAAAUCACACUCAGUCCAUUUUCUUUUUGACCCAGAUGAUAAAAUAUUCUUUCAGAGAUUCAAAAAUAACCAAAAAUGUAAGAAAAAUGAUCAAUGGAACAGUAAAACCAGUCCAGAUGUCCUAGCCUUCAGAUUCUCUCAAAACUUUCUAGCCUCUAAAAUGCCUCUCACCAUCUGAUUUCAGAACAUCCCUUUUUUUUUAAAAAACAUCUCUUU